RNAcentral lists this ribosomal RNA (97 nucleotides) under Vibrio splendidus. Its description in RNAcentral is "partial 16S ribosomal RNA". The stretch from base 1 to 85 matches the Rfam family "Bacterial small subunit ribosomal RNA", at positions 1449 to 1533 of the family's 1533-position model. Lineage: Bacteria; Pseudomonadati; Pseudomonadota; Gammaproteobacteria; Vibrionales; Vibrionaceae. The record is from RNAcentral.
GACGCUCACCACUUUGUGGUUCAUGACUGGGGUGAAGUCGUAACAAGGUAGCCCUAGGGGAACCUGGGGCUGGAUCACCUCCUUAUACGAAGAUACC